GAUGAACGCUGGCGGCGUGCCUAAUACAUGCAAGUCGAGCGAACAGAUGAGGAGCUUGUUCCUCUGACGUUAGCGGCGGACGGGUGAGUAACACGUGGAUAACCUACCUAUAAGACUGGGAUAACUUCGGGAAACCGGAGCUAAUACCGGAUAAUAUAUUUAAACACAUGGUUCAAUAGUGAAAGACGGAUUUGCUGUCAUUAAUAGAUGGAUCCGCGCCGCAUUAGUUAGUUGGUAAGGUAACGGCCUACAAAGGCAACGAUGCGAAGCCGACCUGAGAGGGUGAUCGGCCACACGGGAACUGGAACACGGUCCAGACUCCUACGGAGGGCAGCAGUAGGGAAUCUUCCGCAAUGGGCGAAGGCCUGACGGAGCAACGCCGCGUGAGUGAUGAAGGUCUUCGGAUCUUAAAACUCUGUUAUUAGGGAAGAACAAAUGUGUAAGUAACUAUGCACGUCUUGACGGUACCUAAUCAGAAAGCCACGGCUAACUACGUG
RNAcentral lists this ribosomal RNA (497 nucleotides) under uncultured bacterium. RNAcentral's name for it is "partial 16S ribosomal RNA". It matches the Rfam family "Bacterial small subunit ribosomal RNA", at positions 28 to 507 of the family's 1533-position model. The record is from RNAcentral.